Non-coding RNA from Sturnus vulgaris (Common starling), 2066 nucleotides. The record is from RefSeq and is a predicted model, not a curated record. NCBI's taxonomy places the organism in Eukaryota, Metazoa, Chordata, Aves, Passeriformes, Sturnidae.
AAUUCUUAUUUUAAAUGGGCUAACUUUCCAUAGCAAACAACGGGGCAUCACCCUCGGCAGCACCACAGCAGGUGGCUUCUGCUGCAGACCAGCUCUGGUACUCAGGAAGUCAUCAGAGCUGUGUGAAGUAAUCCAGUGUUUGCUAGAGGUCAGGUAGGACAGCUAGGAGCCCCAGCAGGGAAUGGCAGUGCCCUUUGGCAAUUAGCCCUAAACUGGGGCACACUGGUGGGCCUUAGCAAAGAGUACUGCAGUAAGAAUAGGCUGUUUGCCAUUCAGUGGGAAAAGGGACAGUGAAUGGUUAAGUUUGUCUAGUGUAGGACACCAACCCACAUUAGAACUGUAUUGGGAAGUAAGGAAAACAAGAGAAGAGGAAAUAAAUCUGUGUAGCUCUUCUCUGACUCUGCUAGCAGUUAUCACCAGAAAGGACUGGAAAGAGACAAGAACAAAACAGUACUUCCCCCUUCCUGGCGACUUGGGACUGCAGGACUUCCUGCCCCAAGGAGAUUAUCUUUGUAUUUCAUGGAUUUCUCCUAUGAAUUUGUUCAGCUGCCAUGUAAAUAAUUAGAGCUGUGUGGAAAAAUAUGGUUUUGGUGUUGCCUGAAAAAAAUUACUUCUGCUAAUUGUAUGUCCUCCUUAUUGAGAAACCCUACACAACAGAUCCACAUUUAUAUUCAUGCACUCAUGACUGCAUAAUCUCUGUCAGAAGCUAUUCAUCUUUCUGCUUUCCAGAGUUAAGAGUCCAGAUUAUUUCACUAUUCUGGUAUGGAAGCUACUCCACACGAGUAAUCAUCCUAUCUGCCUUCCUGUGCACCUCUUCUAGUUCUACUACAGCCUUUGAAAUGGAGGGUCCUGGACAGCAAGGGACUGGAACUGCAGAGUACUCAAGAAAGAGGCCAGGUGUUCACUUCUAUAUGGAGUUGUCUGCUACCUGUCUUCUGGGAUGCACUGCUUGCAAACAAAGAGAGUGGAAUAGACGCUAAGGAAGGACAUCAAUCUCUUAAGCAAAUUAGGAAAAAGCAUCCUUCUGCCUCUGAUUCCUCCUUCUCAAAAAGAAACACCUCCUUGCCAUGCUCUCCUUGGGGCCUUCUCACUGCUGCCAUUGCACCCAGACCCUGCAAUUCUUACCUCAAAUGUUUCCACUAGAACAUCUGCGGUUACCAAGGGCCAAAGGGGAGUUGGAAACUUCACAAAAUCGACAUCUAGGAAAUUCUGUCGGAAGCGCUCCAGAUUUCUGGCUUCGUAGCGUAAGUCAAUCUCAAGGGAGAAAUAGAAAAGCAGGUUGGAAAUUAGAUCCAACUAGGAUUAGACCUUCAGGAUCCUGUGUGAAUUGCAAUGCUCAACACCAACAAAACUAGUCAGAAAGCCAGAAUGGAAACAAAAAAAAAAGUGGUGCUUUUUUACAUGCUCACAGCCUCCCUGAUGGAAGAGGAGCAGACUGGAUAAUGGAUGGUCCACAUCCCAACACCUUCAAAAUAUGGGUCCCUUACUAGAGGCAUGGUUUCUCAAAAUAGACAAGGACCACGUCAUAUUCAAAAAUGCAACAAACUGAAUCCUAUCCUGAACCAAAGUUUGCUGUCCAAACAGCAGGGCAGGCAGACAGAAUAGAAGAACUGCAGCCCCAGCCCCACGUGAUAGAGAGGCAGCCACAGCAGGAAGAAAUUCAAUGUAAUGCAUACAAAAUAAUCCACUGUGCCGAGUCCAGGCCCUGGUUCUUCUGUGAUCCAGUGUCUUGACACAAGGGCAUCUCUCCUACUGCUUGCUACUGCUCCAGAAACCAGGAUAACCUUGCCUCACCUCCCUUGUCUGACAGUGGGGAAUACCUCAGGAAUGCUUCUUGUUCAUUCAAAGGGAAAAAGCUACAAUGAGCCUAUCAGCUGUUCUCCUAACCCUCAGCCUUCUGCACAUCCACCCAAGCUCUGCCAAACUGGUAUGAAUGACCUCAAGUCACAGCUGACCACAGUCAACAGUUCCCAGUAUGGAUUUACUGUGUAGAGGUUUUGCAAUUGUAGAAAACAAUUAACGUUUUCAAAAGCUUGUUACAGACUUCAGACUCUGCAAUCUAGACA